CGCCUACGGGGGGCAGCAGUGAGGAAUAUUGGUCAAUGGCCGCAGGGCUGAACCAGCCAAGUCGCGUGAGGGAUGACGGUCCUAUGGAUUGUAAACCUCUUUUGUCGGAGAACAAAACCCGGGACGUGUCCCGGACUGCGUGUAUCCGAAGAAAAAGCAUCGGCUAACUCCGUGCCAGCAGCCGCGGUAAUACGGAGGAUGCGAGCGUUAUCCGGAUUUAUUGGGUUUAAAGGGUGCGUAGGCGGUCCGUUAAGUCAGCGGUAAAAUUGCGGGGCUCAACCCCGUCGAGCCGUUGAAACUGGCAG
RNAcentral lists this ribosomal RNA (305 nucleotides) under uncultured bacterium. RNAcentral describes it as "bacterial SSU rRNA". It matches the Rfam family "Bacterial small subunit ribosomal RNA", at positions 336 to 639 of the family's 1533-position model. The record is from RNAcentral.